This 253-nucleotide ribosomal RNA is filed under the name uncultured bacterium. RNAcentral describes it as "partial 16S ribosomal RNA". It matches the Rfam family "Bacterial small subunit ribosomal RNA", at positions 524 to 776 of the family's 1533-position model. The record is from RNAcentral.
GACAGAGGGUGCGAACGUUGCUCGGAAUCACUGGGCGUAAAGCGCGUGUAGGCGGGCGAUCAAGUCAGGUGUGAAAUCCCUGGGCUCAACCUAGGAACUGCAUCUGAAACUGGUUGUCUUGAGUGUCGGAGAGGGAAGCGGAAUUCCGGGUGUAGAGGUGAAAUUCGUAGAUAUCCGGAGGAACACCGGUGGCGAAGGCGGCUUCCUGGACGACUACUGACGCUGAGACGCGAAAGCGUGGGGAGCAAACAGG